Molecule: RNA transcript, 6644 nt
Organism: Leucoraja erinaceus (little skate)
Lineage: Eukaryota; Metazoa; Chordata; Chondrichthyes; Rajiformes; Rajidae
Gene: lrch1
Gene name: leucine-rich repeats and calponin homology (CH) domain containing 1
Exons: 23
Source: RefSeq, a predicted model, not a curated record
UAGCGACGAGAGUUGUAGGCGGAUCUCUCGUUGAGUGGGAGUGCUAGCGGGCGGGGCGCUCGUUGAGUGGCAGGGCUAGUAGGCGGCGCCGGCUCGUCUCAUCUCAACGAGGGAGGCCGACCAGCGGCCUGUAGUUCCCGCCGUUGCCCGCAGGCCGCGCUGUUAUCGCCCACCCGGCUCCACCUCACUCGGCUUCUGUCUGUCUGACGGUGCGCAGCGGGAAAUGAGGAGCGACGGAUCAGCGGGACUUACGCGACGGCGGCAGUGAGCCGGCUCGGCUGGGCGACCAUGGCGGCGGAGGGCCCAGGCCUCGGUUUGGCGGGUGGUGGCCCCAGCGUGGCCGUUGGAGCGGCGCCGCUGGCCCGGAGUCUGGAACGGGCGCUGGCCGAGGCCGCGGGCUCGGGGACCCUGGGCUUGAGCGGCCGCAAACUGAAGGAGUUCCCGCGGAGCGCGGCCGGCCACGACCUCAGCGAUACGGUGCAAGCAGAUCUGUCGAAGAAUAGACUGAAUGAAGUUCCGCUGGAAGUAUGCCACUUUAUCUCCCUGGAGACAUUGAACCUGUAUCACAACUGCAUCAAAGUCAUUCCUGAUACAGUCAUCAAUCUGCAGGCAUUGAUGAAUUUAAACUUGAGUCGAAAUCAACUUUCUACAUUGCCAUUGUGCAUCUGUGCCCUUCCUCUUAAAGUGUUGGUAGUCAGUAACAAUAAGCUGGUGUCGCUUCCAGAAGAUAUUGGACAGUUGAAGUGUUUAAUGGAACUGGACGUGAGUUGUAAUGAAAUUACAACUUUGCCACAACAAAUGGGACAACUUCAGUCGCUCAGAGAGUUGAACGUCAGACGAAAUUAUCUGCAGAUUUUGCCAGAGGAGCUGGCAGACCUCCCUCUUGUGAAAUUAGACUUUUCCUGUAAUAAGAUUGUAUCGAUACCAAUCUGCUACAGAAACAUGAAGCAUCUACAGAAUAUACAAAUGGAUAACAAUCCACUGCAGUCUCCGCCAGCACAGAUCUGCAUAAAGGGCAAAGUGCACAUAUUCAAGUACCUGAACAUAGAGGCGUGUAGAAUUGAUAAGACUGCAGAAUGCCUUUAUCAACCGUCAAUGGAAAAGGCCCCUGUUCCACAACGUGUUUGUGGGAGCAUUGAAGACAUUUAUCCAGACAAAAAACAAGAUUUUGACUCUGGGAUUGGAAGUGAUAAUGGGGAUAAACGCCUCUCUGCAACUGAACCUUCAGAUGAAGACACAGCUAGUCUGACCUUUCAAAUGGCGCAUAUCUCAGAGGAAGAGCACUUGAAUAAACAGGAGGAAUAUUUAAAUGUUGGAACAAUGAAAGUGCAAUCUGAUCAGGAGCCGAAGGAUGUGCUGCGGCAUAAUGUCGUGGGUGAUGGCUUGAGUUCUGACUUUAGGACAUACAUGAAGGGACGGGAGCCUGAGGAACCGCUGAGAAUUGAGGAGGAUUCAAGUUGGACAAUAGAACAAAUGCCAAACACAGAUCAUCAUCUGGACACUGAAGCAGAGGUAGCAGAACAUACGAGUUCUCCCGAAGGCAUUGUCCAGGAACAGCAGAGGUUGAAUCUGAAUUUUCAGGAUAUUAGUGGAGUGGAUCUUUAUCCUUUGCAAAUGGAUAAAACAGCCUGUUUGAAACUUCAGACGUCACCAAUAAAUGGUGAGACACCAAAAAUCAACCCUUCAGCAAAGUUCUCCAGUUACCAGGAUCUUGCCUCGUUUUGUGUAGAUGAGGAUUCUCCAUCUGAGAAAGAAAGUCGCAUGGCAGAGCUGGAGUUUCAGAGGAAACGUGAGAUCAUGCUGGAGAAAGCAAGGCACGAAGCUCAGGUUGCAUCCCAACGGCUGGAAUGGCAGAAGUCCAAGCAGACUACUAAUGAGAGUGGGGAGAAGAAUGAAUCACAAAAUGAGGAUGAAGAGAAGACUCCCACUGUCAGACACACAUUGUCCCCUGUUGCAUCACCCACGGCUCCCUUUGGACUGAAGCCAAGAUCUGUCCAAGCAAACUCUUCUUUGGCCUCCCCUCCUCCCUUCUUCAGAAAUUUGACACAGACCCACAUAGAGGAGCUCACCACCGCCAGUACCCCACAGGAAGAAGACAGAAGUCAUGCUUUCUUUCGGUCAUUGCGGCAUAUUGACUCCAUGGAUCCUCAAUUUACCAUCCGUAGAAAAAUGGAGCAGAUGAGAGAGGAAAAGGAACAUAUAGAACAACUCCGGGAGAAUAUUGAAAACAGACUGAAAAUUGAUCUACCAGAAGAAAUUGGAGCAGCCUUGAUGGAUGGAGUUGUUCUGUGUCACUUAGUCAAUCACAUCCGGCCGAGAUCCGUACUCAGUAUACACGUUCCAUCACUUGCAGUGCCUAAGCUAAGCAUGGCAAAAUGCAGGAGAAACGUGGAAAACUUCCUGGAAGCUUGCAGGAAAAUGGGUGUACCUGAGGCUGACCUCUGCUCUCCGUACGACAUCCUGCAGUCGGACGUCCACUCCAUUCAAAGGACUGUUGCCGCACUGCUGGCACACAGGGAGAAAGUCCAACAGCCAACACCAGCCUUUUUCACUUGGGAUAUGUUUGGCUUUUGUGUAUUCCACGCUUUCUUUUUAGUGCUGCUAUAUAUUACUUACAACUGGAGCGUUCUGGUUUAGAACAUUGCAUGUGCAUAUAUCCUCGCACCGUGUUUAUAAUCCAAUUGCAGGAGAAGCUAUGUUUGCCCCAUCACAUAUUGGAAGGAAAAGGGUUGCUGAAAGUAAGUAUGACUGUUCAAGCACUGUUGGACUGGGCCGCGAGCAGACCCCCAUUGUUUCUGUGAAUCCAGAGCCCCAGGGCUGCCACCUCCUGACCACAAGCAGCACAGCCGCAAGCCCAGGGCGAGGACACGACGUACAAAAGGCGGACACUUUUCCUCAGCUGACGUGUGGAGCCACUCGUAACGUGUUUUAAAAGCAUAACUAAAAAACUACAUAUGUCACAGUAUUUAAUCAAUGCAUUAACUUUGCAACUACAGUUAGUUACAGCUUUUGCAGAAGUGAGGAAAAGCCAAAUUCCUAAGUAUGUUUUAAUGUAUUAAAGAAACACAAUUUGGUUGUGUUAAUUUGUUUAGUUGCUAUGAUAUUACAAUGCUUUUGAUCGUGAGGAAGUUUAGAACAUGGUCAUAAGUUAUUUAUAUUAUUUAUUCAGGAGAUGUUUUACCCAUCCAUUGAGAUGAAGAUUGUAAAUUUGAAAGACUUGCAGCUAAAACUGAUUUUUAAAGAUUGGAGCAAUUUCAUUUUACUGUGGCAGUUUAGUCAUUUUAGUUAACACUUGAUUUCAUCUGUUGAAUAAUUUUAACUUCCUGAAAGUGUGCUGGUGAUUUGUAUGUGAAAUUAUCUGGUAAGAGAGAAGGGCAGUCAUGAACUCAUCUGACGCAGUGUCUGGGAAGCAGUCUCGUCUGUAUGAUGGUGUCUCAGGCUGCCGUCAGUACAUUUACCAACGAAGGUUUAGUACAAUCUAAGCAGAAUUGACCGACAGUUUGUCCACACUCGAUUAGUUCCUCCGGGUGCUUCAUUCCCUUUAACACAUUCCUGAUCAUGCAUCUCUGGUUCAUUGAGACUGGUGAGUUGAGAUUAGAAAUAGAAUCAGAUUGAUGUUUGACUUUCCAAAGGGAUCUGGCAAUUGGGGAGAGGAAUUUACUGCUCAGCUGAGUGAUCUAAGGUAACUACGUAUCAGGAGCGGGGAGAGUCAGGUUGUUUCCUCUGCAGGGAAUUAGUGGAGUGUCUCCUAAUCCAAUGUGCCUUGUUGCUCUGAUAUUUGACCAGAUGAAAUACUCCAGAAUCUUAAAGUUUACAUUAAAAGGCCAUUUCAUUCGAUAGUAUUAUCGAUGUUAGCAUUUUAUAUCGUCAGAAUACCAAAAACUCCGUCCAGAUUAGCCCUGUCACAAUGCCUGCGGUCUGGUGCGACGGUGAACUGAGUCUCUCUACUUUCCUACAUUUAAUCCAUGACCUUGUCCUGCAACAAUAAAACUCACGCUGACCACUCGCCUUCCUACUGCACUUGCUGGUGGUGCAUUGUGUAAAUAUCUAACCAGUUGUACUGAAUUCAGUGUGAGCUGCAGGAACUGACUGAAAUUUUAUAAGCCAAACCCAAAUGUUAGUUAUUUUAUAUUGCCAAUUUAGGGGACCACUUAAAAAUGUAAAAGUACUCAGGAAUCGUACCCUACCAAACGACGUUGAGUUGCAAGUUGUUUAUGUGGUGGUCUUGGAGAGCGAGUUCACAUGAGGUGGUGAAUGGGAAGCUUGGCCUUCCCGAACACUGCAGUUAACACAAAUGAAGCUGUGUCCCCGACUGCCACCCAAUAGGUUUACUCACUGUAAGCUGAUUGCACCUCAACACACAGAGGAAAGACAGAGCUCACAUUAAGAGAGCACGAAGAUGAAAGGGAGAGCUGUACUCUCUGAGGGUACCAGCUGCCAGGAAUAGUGGCCGAUUGGGAUUGCUGCAAAUGGGAAGGGACUGUGGGAGCAGUGCAUGUAUCUGCUGAGCUACUGGGGCAGGUAGCUCAUCUCUCCCAACAGCUGCAUGACUAGCUGCCCACACACCUGAACGCAAUUGUAUGUCCAGCUCCUUUCUCAGUGUGAUCUUUUUGUCCAAUUUGUUCUAAUAAACAUGCACAUGAAGUAAAUGCAUCGAAUAUACUCCACCACAUUUCUCUUCAUAUGUAAUAUGAUUGCUUUAUAUUAUCAGAGUGAUGCACUAAUCUGAUUGAUUUGCUGUCAACUUCUUGUGGCGUGAAGCCUGGGAACUGACAGAACUGGAGCUCUUAGACCAGAACAGGGGAGGUCAGUGGGCCGACCAUCCUCACCCGAAGAACGUUAACAUGGGAGAAGUUUAAUGGACGAGAAUAUUAAAAGAUUCAACCGCCAUGUUUAUUUAGACAGAAAAUUCACGUUGUAGAAUAGUAUUGGAAUAGGAUAAUAAAAGAAAGAGUGAUGGGUGUGGUUUCAACUUAGGUAUUUCGUCUCAGAGAUUGUUUCCCGGGGUCGCAGUGACAGGUCCGUUAUUCAUGAGUGGUUUGGUGAAAGUGUUGGCAGGACAGCGAAGGGGGGUGAGGAAGAUGUGAGGGGCGAGGUGGGGGCAGGCCCACGGGACCAUCAAUGCUGGUAGGGGUGCAAGGAAACGAGUGUAAUUCCACCUCUUGCUUGUUAGAUCAGCUUGUUAGUGUGACGUGGAACUCUCUGUGUUUCCCACGAGUAUUUUUCUUCGUAUCGCCAUUAGCAAGUAACAUGUCGGGCAGAGAGGGGUAAAGUGGGUUGCAUUAAACAGAAUUAACAAUAGCCACGCAAGAGGCGAGGUUGCUGUGCAGGGUUAGUCAGCAGCACUGUCUCUGCCACUUGUCUGCUGACACUGGCGAGAGCACAAUCCUCGGCCUGGGCGCUAGGAGUGAGAUGUACGUGGAGUGAGAGUGUCGGCAGCGGGUGCUGCAGGAGGAGACUUGAAUGGGAACCCCCACGAGAAUUACAGGAACCUUCUUCCAAUUAUCCCCAGGCACAAGAUUACUAAACCAUUUCACGAUCACAAAUAUAAGUAAACCGUAGUCUCCCGAGGUAGCUGCUUAUGAAAAGCUAUGUUUACAUGUGAGAGGAAAGGUGCCAUCAAGCAGGAAGAUUUGUCAGCAAAACACAGUAAAUUGCUGGAGUAACUCAGCGGUCAGGCCGCGUCUGUGGAUGGAAUGGACAGACAACGUUUGGGAUCGGGGCCGUACCUCAGAAGACGUCUUUACCCGACACACCGUCAGUCCAUUUCCCUCCACAGAUGCUGCCUUGCCCACUGAGUUCAUCCAGCUGCUUGUAUUUUUUUUGCUCAAGAUUCCAGCGUCUGCAGUUUCGUGUUUCCUGGAAAAUCUGUUAGUUGUAUCGUCAGUAUGACAAAGUGCAUUCAAAAAUUAUGUUUUCUUGAAAGAAACAAAUCGGAAUGGGAGCAUUGUUCAAUCAUUUGUUCAGUUUCACGCCCAUGUGUUUCUGUUCUCCUGCAAUCACAUCCAGAUUACAAGACCUACCCUGAACAAGAUUGCUCACUGCAGCUUUAGGAGGGUAGAAACAAAACAGGACCGUAGAGGACUGCAGAAGGAACUAUGCACUCAAUUGCUCUUCUAUUAUCUUCGGUAAUAGAAGGCAAAACGAUCUUUGUUUAAAAAAUGCAAACUGUUUUGUACCAGAAGCAGAAAGUCUAGUGGAAGCACAAUUGGUAGAUGAGUAACGACUUGCAUCUUCAAGCUGCAACGUGCUGUGGAAAAUGCAAUUCACCGAGUGAUUUAUGCACCUGUAUUGUAUAUAGACGACUUUGUGCUUUUUUUAAUUUACAGGUUUUGAGCAUUUGCUGUUAAAAUGACAUUGUGUAAUCGAUCAGUUUUUUGUUGUUCACGGCUGGCUUUCAGCAUGUAUUGUGUAAAAAAAGAUUCUUGUUCUAUCUUAUUAUUUUGUAAGUUUUAGUAAGUCAUCGAUUUUCGGGAAACCCAGUUCCACGUGUAUGGCCAAAAGAUCUUCCGAUGUCUGUAUAUAGUUUGGGGAACGCAUUUUGCAUGUGCGGCCUUUGAUGUUAUCUAAGCCAUUGUACAUAGUGUAUAUUCUGUGGAAAUCACUUCUAUCGUAACAUAAAUAAUAAAGUCAUGUUAUUUGCA